RNAcentral lists this ribosomal RNA (253 nucleotides) under uncultured prokaryote. RNAcentral describes it as "partial 16S ribosomal RNA". It matches the Rfam family "Bacterial small subunit ribosomal RNA", at positions 525 to 777 of the family's 1533-position model. The record is from RNAcentral.
ACGAAGGGGGCUAGCGUUGCUCGGAAUUACUGGGCGUAAAGGGCGCGUAGGCGGACAUUUAAGUCAGGGGUGAAAUCCCAGAGCUCAACUCUGGAACUGCCUUUGAUACUGGAUGUCUUGAGUGUGAGAGAGGUAUGUGGAACUCCGAGUGUAGAGGUGAAAUUCGUAGAUAUUCGGAAGAACACCAGUGGCGAAGGCGACAUACUGGCUCAUUACUGACGCUGAGGCGCGAAAGCGUGGGGAGCAAACAGGA